RNAcentral lists this long non-coding RNA (2663 nucleotides) under Mus musculus (house mouse). RNAcentral describes it as "RIKEN cDNA D130009I18 gene". Lineage: Eukaryota; Metazoa; Chordata; Mammalia; Rodentia; Muridae. The record is from RNAcentral.
UUCAUUCAGCUAGGCAAAAAGGCUUUGAGCAGCCCUACAAUCGCCUUCCUCUCAUUUAUUUGUGCUAGAAUUAAGGUUUAUUUGUUUUCUGUUUUCUUCGUCUUCAGAUUGUUUCUCUGUCUUCAUCCAUUUCGCAAACCCUUUCCUCUGUAUCUCAGAAGGAAGGACCUCCAGGGCCUACAUGUCUGCAGCCCGCACAGCCUCCUUUGAAUGCAUGUCUCUCCGUCUAACUGGAGCUUCUGAAUAUCUCUCAAGCCCCCUGUCGUUUCAGCACUCUGGAGGUGGAAGCAGAAGAGUCAGAAGUUCAAGGUUAUCUUCAGUUACACGAGGAGAUCAAGGCCAUCCUGAGCUACAGGGACACUUGUUAUCAGUUUUAAAUCGUAAAUAAGGAAGCAAAAGUGUAAACGGAGAGUGACCACAUAGAUAUUGUGACUUAAAGCCUGGUUUUAAGGAUGUGUCCCAAGUUCUCUAUCAAUCUGCUCUUUCAGACUUUUUACUUCAUGGUAUAUGAAAAGAUGAUUCAAGACUCAAGAGACUAUAGUCUUUUAUACUAAUCCUUAAAAGGACAAACAGUUCUACCAACUGCAACUUUCUCAUCUGUAACACAGACACGAGCUAAGUAAGAGGCUGACUGAAGUAGUCCUUGGGCGAGGCUUCCCUGGGCUCCGUCGUCACCAAGAGCUUUGGAUGCUUCUCCAGACAUCACAGAACCCAUCUUCUUCUGCUUCCAUUUGGCACUCGCAUGCCAACAUCCAGGACACUGCACUCUGCUCUUAAGAUAUCUCUCAGGAACUCAAAGAAUGAUGCUAACUCCCUGAGCUCCCAAGAGUGAUUAAAGUCCACUUUGAAGAUCCUGCAAGUCGUGCUACUUGAGAGAAGAACUCCCCACCUUGCACAGAAGUGGGGAGAACCUUACGGGUCAGUGCUCACAUAUGGAAUACAGUUAGAGGCCAGAAGAAGGAAAGGAGUCUGUGUCUCACCGUACUAGUCGGGUUGAGAUUCGGUUCUGGGCUGGAGAGAUGGCUCAACAGUUAAGAGAACUGGGUGUUCUUCCAAAGAUCCUGAGUUCAAUUCCCAGCAACCACAUGGAAUGAGUUGGACACGCAUCUGACUUUCUACCACAGGCCUUUCUGAAGCGAGAGGGCGCCAAUGAGUGCCGAAUGAAAGGGCGUGGUGCUCUUCAGGAAAGAAAGCUCAACCUUGACGCUCCACUGGCUUCGCCUUGGGAAACCUCUCCUUUGCUUCUCUCUCUGUGUGUUCCUGGAGACAUUUUCCCUGUUCCACCGCUGACUGAGUCUGGGAGAAGAGGAAGCCCUGAGUGUGUUGUUGGCAUAGGCACAACCAUGUCAAGGAACCCAGAGCCUUGGACCACAGUGGAAUGGAAAAUCUUCUCAUUGGGAGACUCGGAGGCAUGGCAAAGACGUUCCAUGCUCCAUCUGUGGGUGUCUACAACAGCUUUCUUCUCCCUGAUAUUUAUGGCCUGAAUACUGCUCUCCUACAGAGAAUUCGCCUACCAAGAUGAGCUAAACUGUUUUCUUGAUGCAGCUCUAUGCCAAAAACUCACCUCCUUGUUUAUCUGUAUGUAAUAACCCAGGCUGUAUGCAACCACCUCGCCUCUCUGUUCAACUCUAGUGUAUUCAUUUCAAGAGCUAAAGACAGCUUUCUCCUCCACACAGUCCAGCCUAGAACUGACUGAUUCAAAGCCUCAUGGAUAUGCAUUUUGGGAGCACUCCAAGCUUUCCCAGUGUGCCAAGCCAUAUAAAGAGCUGUACAGGUCAAGGGGAUAUGUGUCUUGGCCCUAAAGAACUUAAGCUUCUGUAUAAGGUGGCAUUUCCAAAGCAAUGCUUACUCCAUCCUGUAAGGAGCAUGGGAAUGCAGUCUUUGACCCACAGUGGCUUUUUUUUUCCUUCCUGUCAGUGUAAAAGCCAGCAGAGUACAAAAGACUACAUGUGCUUUAGCAUUGUUUUCUCAAUAAUGUUGACCAUGGUAAUCCCUUGAAAAUAUCUCAGUGACCCUCAGAAGUUCACAAAUUAUGCCUUAACAACAAGAGGACAUCUAAAAUGUGAUCCAAAGGCUGGGAAACAUCUCUGUGAUUAAACAGGUCACCCAAGUAAAGGGCGCUGUCCUUGGUGCUGUAUUUCUUUCCUCAGUCAACCACAACUAUCUGUGCUCAAACUAGAAGAUGCAUUCAGGAGAACACACUGCUUUUCCCUCUCAAAGAAAGAAUGACUUUGAGAGUUUUCUGUGGGGGGUUGAGGCUCCUCUCUAAGAAAAACAUGAUGUAUGGCAGUCUCAGAUAAACAAACAAACAAACAAACAAACAUGGAAUGCUGUAAUUUGUGCUAAUUUACCGGGCCCGUGAAAAUGUCUAAAAAACUAAAACAACAACAAAAUUUAAAGAAUUUAAACUCUAUAUAAUGAAUCUGGAGGUGGGUUAAAAAAAAAAAAAAAAGGAAAUGUUCUAUUUUGUUCUCUUUUACCCACCUUCAUUUUUAGAAAAAAAAAAAAAGAGGGGGGAUUAGGCCUUUCCUUUUUAAAGCUAACUGUGUAUUUGGGGGUCUAAGUUACUUCAGAAAACAAUCUCUAUUAAUAUGUAUGAAAAGAAAUUUAUAGCAGCUAUCAUGAAAUACAAAGCAACCAGGAAUAAAUUCAUUUAAUAAAAG